GGUCCGGGUCGGCGGCUGCACGGCGGAUGAGACCGGUGCGACUCAUGAAGGUGUUCGUCACCCGCAGGAUACCCGCCGAGGGCAGGGUCGCGCUCGCCCGGGCGGCAGAUGGUGGCUGGACCUCGUGGAAGCCCCUCUGGCUGUGUGGCUAUGGACUCACGCAGAGCACUGUCGGCAUCAUCGGGCUGGGGCGCAUAGGCCAGGCCAUUGCUCGGCGUCUGAAACCAUUUGGUGUCCAGAGAUUUCUGUACACAGGGCGCCAGCCCAGGCCUGAGGAAGCAGCGGAAUUCCAGGCAGAGUUUGUGUCUACCCCUGAGCUGGCUGCCCAGUCUGAUUUCAUCGUCGUGGCCUGCUCCUUAACGCCUGCAACUGAGGGACUCUGCAACAAGGACUUCUUCCAGAAGAUGAAGGAAACAGCUGUGUUCAUCAACAUCAGCAGGGGUGACGUCGUAAACCAGGACGACCUGUACCAGGCCUUGGCCAGUGGUAAGAUUGCAGCUGCUGGACUGGAUGUGACGAGCCCAGAACCACUGCCUACAAACCACCCUCUCCUGACCCUGAAGAACUGUGUGAUCCUGCCCCACAUUGGCAGUGCCACCCAC
RNAcentral lists this small RNA (602 nucleotides) under Pongo abelii (Sumatran orangutan). RNAcentral's name for it is "processed transcript". The record is from RNAcentral. Lineage: Eukaryota; Metazoa; Chordata; Mammalia; Primates; Hominidae.